GUGACAUUGUGGUGAUGUUGUAUACACAGGAAACUACGACCGCUGUGUGACAGCAGGUGCAUCAAUGGCGUGUGACACAUUCCAGGUUCGGGACUCCGCGAACUUAUAAUCAGUUACCAAACAAGCGGACUGGUCUUCUCGAGAUCUAUAUUUCCGCUCAGCAGCUCUAUCGACUCUUAAGGGUUUUCUUGACCAGAUGCAACACAUCUCGAGCUGUCGUACCUUAAAGGCCUUAUCAAGGCCACAAGCCUGGACAUACAGCCCACGCUCUCCAUCUCUAAGACUUGAUGUAUCGAAGUCGAUGCCCAUGCAGGGAAAAUUGCAUCCAUACUAGAAGUUGCAUAAUGGCACAGACGAUUGGUAUAUAUACCAGCAGGUUGAAGCAGCCUUGCCGAUGAAGCAUUUGACUUU
Gigantopelta aegis is the source of this 411-nucleotide long non-coding RNA. RefSeq lists it as uncharacterized. NCBI's taxonomy places the organism in Eukaryota, Metazoa, Mollusca, Gastropoda, Neomphalida, Peltospiridae. The transcript is spliced from 3 exons. The record is from RefSeq and is a predicted model, not a curated record.